GACGAACGCUGGCGGCGUGCCUAAUACAUGCAAGUCGAGCGCUGAAGGUUGGUACUUGUGCUGACUGGGUGAGCAGCGGACGGGUGAGUAACGCGUGGGGAAUCUGCCUCUUAGCGGGGGACAACAUUUGGAAACGAAUGCUAAUACCGCAUAAAAACUUUAACCACAAGGUUGAAGGUUGAAAGAUGCAAUUGCAUCACUGAAAGAUGAUCCCGCGUUGUAUUAGCUAGUUGGUUAGGUAAAGGCUCACCAAGGGGAUGAUACAUAGCCGAGCUGGGAGGGUGAUCGGCCACACUGGGACUGAGACACGGCCCAAGCUCCUACGGGAGGCAGCAGUAGGGGAUCUUUGGAAAUGGCGGAAAGUCUGAACGAGGAACGCCGCGUGGGUGAAGGAGGUUUUCGGAUCGUAAAACUCUGUUGGUAGGGAAGAAAGUUGGUGAGAGUGGAAAGCUCAUGUAGUGACGGUAACUACACAGAAAGGGACGGCUAACUACGUG
Molecule: ribosomal RNA, 497 nt
Filed under: uncultured bacterium
Lineage: Bacteria
Description: partial 16S ribosomal RNA
Rfam family: Bacterial small subunit ribosomal RNA
Source: RNAcentral